This 1356-nucleotide ribosomal RNA is filed under the name Lactiplantibacillus plantarum. RNAcentral's name for it is "bacterial SSU rRNA". It matches the Rfam family "Bacterial small subunit ribosomal RNA", at positions 8 to 1330 of the family's 1533-position model. Lineage: Bacteria; Bacillati; Bacillota; Bacilli; Lactobacillales; Lactobacillaceae. The record is from RNAcentral.
AGAGUUUGAUCCUGGCUCAGGACGAACGCUGGCGGCGUGCCUAAUACAUGCAAGUCGAACGAACUCUGGUAUUGAUUGGUGCUUGCAUCAUGAUUUACAUUUGAGUGAGUGGCGAACUGGUGAGUAACACGUGGGAAACCUGCCCAGAAGCGGGGGAUAACACCUGGAAACAGAUGCUAAUACCGCAUAACACCUUGGACCGCAUGGUCCGAGUUUGAAAGAUGGCUUCGGCUAUCACUUUUGGAUGGUCCCGCGGCGUAUUAGCUAGAUGGUGGGGUAACGGCUCACCAUGGCAAUGAUACGUAGCCGACCUGAGAGGGUAAUCGGCCACAUUGGGACUGAGACACGGCCCAAACUCCUACGGGAGGCAGCAGUAGGGAAUCUUCCACAAUGGACGAAAGUCUGAUGGAGCAACGCCGCGUGAGUGAAGAACGGUUUCGGCUCGUAAAACUCUGUUGUUAAAGAAGAACAUAUCUGAGAGUAACUGUUCAGGUAUUGACGGUAUUUAACCAGAAAGCCACGGCUAACUACGUGCCAGCAGCCGCGGUAAUACGUAGGUGGCAAGCGUUGUCCGGAUUUAUUGGGCGUAAAGCGAGCGCAGGCGGUUUUUUAAGUCUGAUGUGAAAGCCUUCGGCUCAACCGAAGAAGUGCAUCGGAAACUGGGAAACUUGAGUGCAGAAGAGGACAGUGGAACUCCAUGUGUAGCGGUGAAAUGCGUAGAUAUAUGGAAGAACACCAGUGGCGAAGGCGGCUGUCUGGUCUGUAACUGACGCUGAGGCUCGAAAGUAUGGGUAGCAAACAGGAUUAGAUACCCUGGUAGUCCAUACCGUAAACGAUGAAUGCUAAGUGUUGGAGGGUUUCCGCCCUUCAGUGCUGCAGCUAACGCAUUAAGCAUUCCGCCUGGGGAGUACGGCCGCAAGGCUGAAACUCAAAGGAAUUGACGGGGGCCCGCACAAGCGGUGGAGCAUGUGGUUUAAUUCGAAGCUACGCGAAGAACCUUACCAGGUCUUGACAUACUAUGCAAAUCUAAGAGAUUAGACGUUCCCUUCGGGGACAUGGAUACAGGUGGUGCAUGGUUGUCGUCAGCUCGUGUCGUGAGAUGUUGGGUUAAGUCCCGCAACGAGCGCAACCCUUAUUAUCAGUUGCCAGCAUUAAGUUGGGCACUCUGGUGAGACUGCCGGUGACAAACCGGAGGAAGGUGGGGAUGACGUCAAAUCAUCAUGCCCCUUAUGACCUGGGCUACACACGUGCUACAAUGGAUGGUACAACGAGUUGCGAACUCGCGAGAGUAAGCUAAUCUCUUAAAGCCAUUCUCAGUUCGGAUUGUAGGCUGCAACUCGCCUACAUGAAGUCGGA